Molecule: ribosomal RNA, 163 nt
Filed under: Bupleurum marginatum var. stenophyllum
Lineage: Eukaryota; Viridiplantae; Streptophyta; Magnoliopsida; Apiales; Apiaceae
Also listed under: 7 other names
Description: 5.8S ribosomal RNA
Rfam family: 5.8S ribosomal RNA
About the family: 5.8S ribosomal RNA (5.8S rRNA) is a component of the large subunit of the eukaryotic ribosome.
Source: RNAcentral
CAACGACUCUCGGCAACGGAUAUCCCGGCUCUCGCAUCGAUGAAGAACGUAGCGAAAUGCGAUACUUGGUGUGAAUUGCAGAAUCCCGUGAACCAUCGAGUUUUUGAACGCAAGUUGCGCCCGAUGCCAUUAGGUUGAGGGCACGUCUGCCUGGGUGUCACAU